UACGUAGGGGGCAAGUGUUGUCCGGAUUUAUUGGGCGUAAAGAGCGUGUAGGCGGCCAUACAGGUCAGCUGUGAAAACUCGAGGCUCAACCUCGAGACGUCGGUUGAAACCGUAUGGCUAGAGUCCGGAAGAGGAGAGUGGAAUUCCCGGUGUAGCGGUGAAAUGCGCAGAUAUCGGGAAGAACACCCGUGGCGAAGGCGGCUCUCUGGGACGGUACUGACGCUGAGACGCGAAAGCGUGGGGAGCAAACCGG
RNAcentral lists this ribosomal RNA (253 nucleotides) under uncultured bacterium. RNAcentral describes it as "partial 16S ribosomal RNA". It matches the Rfam family "Bacterial small subunit ribosomal RNA", at positions 524 to 776 of the family's 1533-position model. The record is from RNAcentral.